Molecule: non-coding RNA, 88 nt
Organism: Hypholoma sublateritium FD-334 SS-4
Lineage: Eukaryota; Fungi; Basidiomycota; Agaricomycetes; Agaricales; Strophariaceae
Source: the annotation of a GenBank genome assembly
UCGGGUAUGGUGUAACGGCUAACAUUGCCGCCUCUCAUUUCCUUUGUGAGUGUCGCGGCAGCUCGGGGUUCGAUUCCCCGUACCCGAA